Long non-coding RNA from Lathyrus oleraceus (garden pea), 643 nucleotides. RefSeq lists it as uncharacterized. Lineage: Eukaryota; Viridiplantae; Streptophyta; Magnoliopsida; Fabales; Fabaceae. The transcript has 2 exons. The record is from RefSeq and is a predicted model, not a curated record.
UUAUUCAAAAGCUUUUCUCUCUCUUCAUACCAAACUCAAACGAAAGGGCUCUGUACAGAGUGCCUCCUUUCACGAACCCUAAAUUUCUUCUCUCUUGGAGAAGACGAUCGGAGGCGGCGGCUCACGGCGGAGCCUCCGCUCUUCUCUGUCGCUUCACUCUCUCUCUUCCCUAACUCUGUUUCAUGAACCACUUCCCUCUUUCUCCUUCUCAUAAUUUCGAGCCACACGACAUAAAAUUAUACGAAAACAAACUCAACCGAAAAAUCUACAAAAAGGGAACUCAUGGAGGAAGAUAGAGGUGAAUCGUUUACCAAAUCGGAAGUUCUGUGAGAUCCUCCGGAUGCCGGCAACGGUUCUCUUCGGCGAGCGAUUCUUCAGUGAGGUCACAGGUUUGAAGAGACUUUGAUGGAAUGGAAAAGUGGUUGCUCCAAGCUUCAAGACAGCAUGUUUUUGCGCCUAGGUCCAAAGGAGUGCUUAACCAGUCCAUUGAUUUUGGUCUUGGUCAUUAGAAUUAGGAACCUGUUUUUGCAGCAAAUUCUACUUAGUCAAAAAAUGUAAUUAUUUAGUUUAAUAAAAAUUUUUAAAGAUAAAAUGUAUUUGGAUUAUUUGGAACUUAUUGAAUUAAAUUUUAAUUAUGUAAUUA